ACAGAGCUUUGCUCCAAAACCCGAGUCAUUGAUGUUGGGGUGAAGACCGCCAGGCUAAAGUGGGACUGGGCUGGACAUGUCUGCCGGAUGCAUGAUGACAGAUGGGCCAAAAUAGCCACUAGCUGGCAUCCCCAGUUCGAGGCAGAGGCAGACCGAGAAUGAGAUGGCGGGACGACUUGGAUGCAUUUCAGCGGGAUUGGCGGGAUCUUGCUCAGCACAGGGAGGAUUGGAAAAGGAGA
This is a long non-coding RNA of Cydia amplana, 239 nucleotides long. RefSeq lists it as uncharacterized. The transcript is spliced from 2 exons. The record is from RefSeq and is a predicted model, not a curated record. NCBI's taxonomy places the organism in Eukaryota, Metazoa, Arthropoda, Insecta, Lepidoptera, Tortricidae.